This 72-nucleotide transfer RNA is filed under the name Cavia porcellus (domestic guinea pig). It matches the Rfam family "tRNA". Rfam says of the family: Transfer RNA (tRNA) molecules are approximately 80 nucleotides in length. Their secondary structure includes four short double-helical elements and three loops (D, anti-codon, and T loops). The record is from Rfam by way of RNAcentral. Lineage: Eukaryota; Metazoa; Chordata; Mammalia; Rodentia; Caviidae.
GGGGAUGUAGCUCUGUGGUAAAGUCUUUGCCUAGCAUGCACAAGGCUCUGAGUUCAAUCCCCAGUACCACCA